GAUCAUGGCUCAGAUUGAACGCUGGCGGCAUGCUUUACACAUGCAAGUCGAACGGCAGCACGGGGGCAACCCUGGUGGCGAGUGGCGAACGGGUGAGUAAUAUAUCGGAACGUACCCGGAAAUGGGGGAUAACGUAGCGAAAGUUACGCUAAUACCGCAUAUGCCCUAAGGGGGAAAGCGGGGGAUUCGCAAGAACCUCGCGUUUUCGGAGCGGCCGAUAUCGGAUUAGCUAGUAGGUGAGGUAAAGGCUCACCUAGGCGACGAUCCGUAGCUGGUCUGAGAGGACGACCAGCCACACUGGAACUGAGACACGGUCCAGACUCCUACGGGAGGCAGCAGUGGGGAAUUUUGGACAAUGGGCGCAAGCCUGAUCCAGCCAUACCGCGUGAGUGAAGAAGGCCUUCGGGUUGUAAAGCUCUUUCAGCCGGAAAGAAAACGCACGGGUUAAUAACCUGUGUGGAUGACGGUACCGGAAGAAGAAGCACCGGCUAACUACGUG
RNAcentral lists this ribosomal RNA (499 nucleotides) under uncultured bacterium. RNAcentral's name for it is "bacterial SSU rRNA". It matches the Rfam family "Bacterial small subunit ribosomal RNA", at positions 15 to 507 of the family's 1533-position model. The record is from RNAcentral.